GGCAAGGACUCUCCCCUCACGAAGUCAUAUGAGCAAGCAGAUGUUCACCACACAUGGGGAUCAUGAGUGUGAUGAAAUUAUUUACAAAGUGAGAUUGAAACUGCAGGGCAGAGCACAGAAUCUGCAAGCAGGUGUGGGCAGGUUCUGGGAAGAUGAGUGGGAGCUCGCCAGAGCACAGAGAUGGGAGGCAUCCAGGCAAAAGAACACCAUGUGCAGAGGUAAAGAUCCAUGAACUGGUCAUGUCCAUACAAAGAAUGCUCAGACCAAUUCACUCAUCCAGCUACAGACGUCUCUAGACUAGCACUUCCCAGCCCCCACCCAAGCUGAGGCCUGACUCUGUGAAAUUAGACCUGCAGAAGCAGAACACAGCCUCCUUCGUUCCAGACAGAGAGAGGGAAGGAGGGUCUGUGGACCUCGGUCCUGCUCCCAAGGUCACCACAUCCACUCCGUCCUGCCAGGAGAGAAGAGAAGGAGCGGACAGAAAGGCCAGGAGGUCACCCUCCCAGCCCCACCGAGGCAAGGAGGCGUAGGCGUGGCCCUCACGUCGGGCACUCUGCUCCUGGGCCAUCUGGCCUGAGCCUCCCGGCAGCGCUGUGCGCUUGGGACUAGCUCAUCCGCGAGUUACAGGCCCGGCUGGUUUUCCCUCACACUGGCACCUUCUGGAGGGGGAUCCGGUUACCGCGCCCUCGGAGCAGAGUGAAUGUUUAACCAGCCCGAGCUGAGUGCCAGCCACCAGCAGCUCCCGGCGGUGCACAGAGCCUUAAAGACCUCACCUGGGUGGAGCCUUCACAGCGGACAGGGGACACAGGGGACCCUUGGCCAGCUCCGGGGUAUGUGGUGGCUCUGCUCCAUCUGCAUUACUGCUCUUGAGUAUUGUAAAAUUUGUCCACAGUAUAUAUAAAUAAAUAUGGAAGCUUUCCUGAUGACAAGCCACAUUCUACAUUUUGUAUAAGCUUCGUGGCCUCUUAAUCAUCUAGCAUUGUUCAAAACUAUGUAUGUGCAUCUAAACUAGGAUAUAUACCUUUUUAAAAAUUUUUUAUUAAGGUAUGAUUGAUAUACACUCUUACAAAGGUUUCACAUGAAAAAACAAUGUGGUUACUACAUUCACCCACAUUAUCAAGUCCCCACCCACACCCCAAUGCAGUCACUGUCCAUCAGUGCAGCAAGUUGCCAGAGAUCCACUAUGUCCCUUCU
This is a long non-coding RNA of Manis pentadactyla (Chinese pangolin), 1194 nucleotides long. RefSeq lists it as uncharacterized. The record is from RefSeq and is a predicted model, not a curated record. NCBI's taxonomy places the organism in Eukaryota, Metazoa, Chordata, Mammalia, Pholidota, Manidae. The transcript has 3 exons.